UAGCAUAGUGGUUAAGUGCUAUGGCUGCUAACCAAAAGGUCAGUGGUUCAAAUCCACU
This 58-nucleotide transfer RNA is filed under the name Loxodonta africana (African savanna elephant). It matches the Rfam family "tRNA", at positions 8 to 63 of the family's 71-position model. Rfam says of the family: Transfer RNA (tRNA) molecules are approximately 80 nucleotides in length. The record is from Rfam by way of RNAcentral. Lineage: Eukaryota; Metazoa; Chordata; Mammalia; Proboscidea; Elephantidae.